GUUUUAGCUAGCCACUGACUACACUUUAGCUAGCAAGUUAGCAGAGCAGUAAAUCAAAAAUAUUUUUUGUAUUACUUAGCCUUGGUAAUUGUUUGUACAGUAUGAUGAUUUUGGUGUCUAUUUCAGAGCUUAUGGCAUUUUUCAAGGAUGAGCAUAAGAGCAUUACAUGGGGAGAAGACCACUAAGUCUGGCAUUUGGAGAAGUACAUCUAUAGUGAGGGGCGACUUACCAAUUUGGUCAGGGCCAGCAUGAGCUAAAUGUGCUAAAUAAAAUUAAAGGAAAAAUAGUAACACAAUAAAAUCGCCAUAACAAGGCUAUAUAUCCUAGCUGGCAUGGCACUGUCAGUGGCGCAGCAGGAGGCUAAAUGGCAGGUAACAAUCAGAGAGCGCACCAACUGCAACUGGCACACCAGAAGGAGAGGGAGGUUGACGGACAGCAAUUAUGGAGCAGUGGUUAGGGCCAAGCACGUUACACCGUCACUGCUAAACAGGGUCCUUAGAUUGUCGGAUGGGGUGUUGUCUGUAAAGUGGGGCACAGAUAAUGAAGGGAAGGGCAUCAAGGCAUUCAAAAUGGCUACAGGGAUGGAUGUGCAGGAGCCAGGGCUUUGGGUCACGGGGUCUGAGAAGCGGAAGGGCGGAGGUGUAUGCUUCAUGAUUAACAACUCAUGGUGUAAUCAUAGCAACAUACAGGAACUCAAGUCCUUCUGCUCACCCGACCUAGAAUUCCUUACAAUCAAAUGCUGGCCAUGUUACCUCCUAAGGGAAUUCUCGUCAGUUAUCGUCACAGCGGUGAACAAUACCCCUCAAGCAGACACCAAGAUGGCCCUCAAGGAACUUUACUGGACUCUAUGUAAACUGGAAACCAUAUAUCCUGAGGCUGCAUUUAUUGUAGCUGGGGAUUAUAACAAAGCAAAUUUGAGAACAAGGCUAACGAAAUUCUAUCAGCAUAUUGAUUGCACUACAUGCGGGGGUAAUACACUUGAUCACUGCUACUCUAACUUCCACGAUGCAUACAAGGGCCCUCGCCGCCCUUCCUUCAGCAAAUCCGACCAUGAUGCCAUCUUGCUCCUACAGUCUUCUAGGCAGACACUCAAACAGGAUGUACCAGUGACUAGAACCAUUCAACGCUGGUCUGACCAAUCGGAAUCCAUGCUUCAAGAUUGUUUUGAUCACGAGGACUGGGAUAUGUUCCGCUCAGCCUCAGAGAACAACAUUGAAGGAAGUGCAUUGCAGAUGUUGUACACACUGUGACUAUUAAAACCUACCCUAACCAAAAAACGUGGCUGGAUGGCGGCAUUCGCUCAAAACUGAAAGCACGAACAAUCGCAUUAAACCAUCGAAAGAGGUCUGGGAAUAUGGUUGAAUAUAAACAGUGUAGUAAUUCCCUCUGCAAGUCAAUCAAACAAGCGAAAUGUUGGUACAGGGACGAAGUGGAGUCGCAAUUCAAUGGCUCAGACACAAGACGUAUGUGGCAGAGUCUGCAGGAAAUCACAGACUACAAAAAGAAAAACAGCCACAUCACGGACACUGACGUCACGCUUCCAGACAAACUAAACAUCUUCUUAUCAAGGACAGCACCCCCACCUUCUCCGUGGCCGAUGUGAGUAAAACAUUUAAACAUGUUAACCCUCGCAAGGCUGCUGGCCCAGCACUAACCACAUCCUCAGACCAUGUGCAGACCAGCUGGCUGGUGUGUUUACAGACAUAUUCAAUUGCUCCCUAUCCCAGUCUGCUGUCCCCACAUGCUUCAAGAUGGCCACCAUUGUUUCUGUACCCAAGAAGGCAAAGAUAACAACUAAAUGACCACCGGCCCAUAGCACUCACUUCUGUCAUCAUGAAGUGCUUUGAGAGACUAGUCAAGGAUCAUAUCACCUCCACCUUACCGGCCACCCUAGACCCACUUCAGUUUGCAUAUCGCCCCAACAGGUCUACAGACAAUGCAAUCACCAUCCCACUGCACACUGCCCUAUCCCAUCUGGACAAGAGGAAAACCUAUGUAAGAAUGCUGUUCAUUGACUACAGCUCAGCAUUCAACACAAUAGUACCCUCCAAGCUCAUCAUCAAGCUGGAGGCCCUGGGUCUCAACCCCACCCUGUGCAAUUGGGUCCUGGACUUUCUGACGGGCCGCCCCCAGGUGGUGAAGGUAGAAAACAACAUCUCCACUUAGCUGACCCUCAACACUGGGGCCCCACAAGGGUGCAUGCUCAGCCCCCUCCUGUACUCCCUGUUCACCCAUGACUGCGUGGCCAUGCAUGCCUCCGACUCAAUCAUCAAGUUUGCAGACGGCACUACAGUAGUCGGCUUGAUUACCGACAAUGAUGAGACAGCCUACAGGGAGAAGGUGAGGGCACUCGGAGUGUGGUAUCAGGAAAACAACCUCUCACUCAACGUCAACAAAACAAAGGAGAUGAUCGUGGACUUCAGGAAACAGCAGAGGGAGCACCCCCCUUUCCACAAUCGACGGGACAGCAGUGGAGAAGGUGGAAAGUUUUAAGUUCCUUGGCAUACACAUCACAGACUAACUGAAAUGGUCCACCCACACAGACAGUGUGGUGAAGAAGGCGCAACAGCGCCUCUUCAACCUCAGGAGGCGGAAGAAAUGUGGCUUUUCACCCAAAACCCUGACAAACUUUUACAGAUGCACAAUCGAGAGCAUCCUGGUACGGCAACUACACCACCCUCAACCGCAAGGCUCUCCAGAGGGUGGAGCGGUCUGCAAAACGCAUCAUCGGGGGCCAACUACCUGCCCUCCAGGAAACCUACAGCACUCGAUGUCACAGGAAGGCCAAAAAGAUCAUCAAGGACACCAACUAAACACCUGCUAAACAGCAAUCACUAACUCAGAGAGGCUGCUGCCUACAAUGAGACCCACUCACUGACCAGUUUAAUAAAUGGAGGGCACCACAGCAAUGGUGGAGGUCAAGUGUCCCUAUGGUGCAAAGGACCUUACCAUUGAAGAGGCAGUAAAGUCAAAGGAUUUAUUGAAGGAGGGAGGGUCUUACCGCCUCCGUGAAGAUGAUCCUUACUGUCACCAGGUCCAAGGUCAGCUUCGCAUCACUGGAAGGGACUUUGUUGUGUGGACCACCAAAGCCUCCAUCACCAUCCCCAUCCAGCGUGAUGACCUCUGAAAGACUCAUAUUGCUCCUCCUGUCAGUACCUGUUUACUGCGAAGCCAAUGGUCCAAAAAUAUUCCACAUAGUUCACACACACACUAGGCUCACAGAAAAGGUUAUAUUACAUACACAUUUUGCUCAAAGCAGCCAACUAAAGUCAUGUAGUUAACUUUAUCAUUUGAGAGAGAGUGUGAGAGAGAGAGUACAUCACUUCCAGCAGAUCUCCUUGCUGAGGGUGGUGUUGAUCAUGCACUGCUUCUCAUGGGGCUCGAUGUGCUGUGGUCUCCACAACUGGGCGCUUGCACUCGGUUCACACUGGCACAGGAUGUCCAUGCACCGGAUGGCCUGAGGGAUGCACCCCUGUAGCACUGUAAAACGAAGAGACAUUUGGUCAGUGAAAAUGGCAGCUGCAGACUGGAGUGGAAGCUCCUGCACUUCAUCUCUAGCCGACUCUGUCAGCUACAGUUCACCAGUGUGAUCAGAGAACUGUGCCCAAUCCAUGAUGAAUCCUGGUGCUGUAUUGAAAUGAACAUCUUCUUCC
RNAcentral lists this long non-coding RNA (3653 nucleotides) under Salmo salar (Atlantic salmon). Its description in RNAcentral is "lncRNA (ENSSSAG00000105137.1)". The record is from RNAcentral. Lineage: Eukaryota; Metazoa; Chordata; Actinopteri; Salmoniformes; Salmonidae.